RNAcentral lists this ribosomal RNA (402 nucleotides) under uncultured bacterium. RNAcentral's name for it is "bacterial SSU rRNA". It matches the Rfam family "Bacterial small subunit ribosomal RNA", at positions 356 to 775 of the family's 1533-position model. The record is from RNAcentral.
UAGGAAUAUUAGAAAUGGACGAAAGUCUGAUCUAGCAACACCGCGUGUGCGAAGAAGGCCUUCGGGUCGUAAAGCACUUUUUGGAAGGAAUAGGAAGGAAUGUACUUCCAGAAUAAGUCUCGGCUAACUACGUGCCAGCAGCCGCGGUAACACGUAGGAGGCAAACGUUAUCCGGAUUUACUGGGCGUAAAGCGCGUGUAGGUGGUACUGUAAGUAGGGCGUGAAAGCUCCUGGCUCAACUGGGAGAGGCCGUUCUAAACUACAGAACUAGAGGAUGGUAGAGGGAGGUGGAAUUCCAGGUGUAGCGGUGGAAUGCGCAGAUAUCUGGAGGAACACCGGUGGCGAAGGCGGCCUCCUGGACCAUUCCUGACACUCAGACGCGAAAGCUAGGGUAGCAAACGG